UUCCUACAUCUAAACCUAUGCAUGUUAAUUACGAUAACUAGAAAAGGAAGCUUAUUCAUGUUGUUUCCCUUUGCUUGAAAUCCUGUCAAGUUGUUUCCUUUUCCUUCUGAUUGGUGAAUCACGUCAUAAUAUUGUUUUCUUCUACUUGAAUCACAUCGAGAACGACAUCUCCUUUUGGGCAGCUAUUGUUGUGUGCCUCCAAGCCGUAUUCGGUGAUAAUUGGCAGCCAUUGCCGG
Molecule: long non-coding RNA, 236 nt
Filed under: Setaria italica (foxtail millet)
Lineage: Eukaryota; Viridiplantae; Streptophyta; Magnoliopsida; Poales; Poaceae
Description: long non-coding RNA (SITA_LNC003305)
Source: RNAcentral